This 253-nucleotide ribosomal RNA is filed under the name uncultured bacterium. RNAcentral describes it as "partial 16S ribosomal RNA". It matches the Rfam family "Bacterial small subunit ribosomal RNA", at positions 524 to 776 of the family's 1533-position model. The record is from RNAcentral.
UACGUAGGGUGCGAGCGUUGUCCGGAAUUAUUGGGCGUAAAGAGCUCGUAGGCGGUUUGUCGCGUCUGCUGUGAAAACCUAAGGCUCAACCUUGGGCUUGCAGUGGGUACGGGCAAGCUAGAAUUCGGUAGGGGAGACUGGAAUUCCUGGUGUAGCGGUGAAAUGCGCAGAUAUCAGGAGGAACACCGGUGGCGAAGGCGGGUCUCUGGGCCGAAAUUGACGCUGAGGAGCGAAAGCGUGGGGAGCAAACAGG